This 475-nucleotide ribosomal RNA is filed under the name uncultured bacterium. RNAcentral describes it as "bacterial SSU rRNA". It matches the Rfam family "Bacterial small subunit ribosomal RNA", at positions 335 to 799 of the family's 1533-position model. The record is from RNAcentral.
ACUCCUACGGGAGGCAGCAGUGGGGAAUUUUGGACAAUGGGGGAAACCCUGAUCCAGCCAUCCCGCGUGAGUGAAGAAGGCCUUCGGGUUGUAAAGCUCUUUCGAAAGUGAAGAAAACUUAUUUCGUAAUAUGUUAUAAGUAUGACGGUAACUUUAGAAGAAGCACCGGCUAACUACGUGCCAGCAGCCGCGGUAAUACGUAGGGGUGCGAGCGUUAAUCGGAAUUACUGGGCGUAAAGCGUGCGCAGGCGGUUUUGUAAGUCAGAUGUGAAAUCCCCGAGCUUAACUUGGGGAACUGCGUUUGAAACUACAAGACUAGAGUGUGUCAGGAGGGGGUAGAAUUCCACGUGUAGCAGUGAAAUGCGUAGAGAUGUGGAGGAAUACCAAUGGCGAAGGCACGCCCCUGGGAUAACACUGACGCUCAUGCACGAAAGCGUGGGGAGCGAACAGGAUUAGAUACCCUUGUAGCACAGAG